Long non-coding RNA from Electrophorus electricus (electric eel), 546 nucleotides. RefSeq lists it as uncharacterized. The record is from RefSeq and is a predicted model, not a curated record. Lineage: Eukaryota; Metazoa; Chordata; Actinopteri; Gymnotiformes; Gymnotidae.
UCAUAAGAACAGUCCUACGGACACAAAUCGCCUUGUGUUGCUUUCAUUUCAUGAAUCUUAGCUGGUUAACUGGGUGACCAGUUCGCUGUGGACGGGGGUUUGGUGGCCGUAGCGCUGUGAGGUUUGCCAACUUGGUCAUGUAUUAGCUAGCCCACAAGAUGGCUAACAAAAUCAGUCCUGCUGAAUUCAUGUCCAACUCCUCUGCGUGUGGUUUAUCCAGAGAAACAAAAUCAAAAUCCUCGCACGAAGGCAAUCCGGCGCACCGCUGGCAAGUUUGGUGGUCUCUUUUUUAACACUGACCAGUUUGAAAGGUAACUGCGUAGCUAAUCCUGGAAAGAUGGGACUCGUCUCUCAGACUCAAUCAGACAAUGAGCUGGGACUCCAGACUGUGGAAAGGUGACGGCUGUAACGAUGCUGGGCUGAGUGGCAUGCCCGUUAAAGGGUAAUCCUCUUGCCUACCUUCACAACUGGCAAAAAUAAAAGAAUCUUAAGAAGUUAAUAUAUCCUCUGGAUAGAACUGGAGAUGACGGACAAGCUCCAUGAACC